RNAcentral lists this ribosomal RNA (305 nucleotides) under uncultured bacterium. RNAcentral describes it as "bacterial SSU rRNA". It matches the Rfam family "Bacterial small subunit ribosomal RNA", at positions 337 to 640 of the family's 1533-position model. The record is from RNAcentral.
UCCUACGGGAGGCAGCAGUGAGGAAUAUUGGUCAAUGGUCGGGAGACUGAACCAGCCAAGCCGCGUGAGGGAUGAAGGUACAGAGUAUCGUAAACCUCUUUUGUCAGGGAACAAGGGCGGGGACGUGUCCCCGGAUGAGUGUACCUGAAGAAAAAGCAUCGGCUAACUCCGUGCCAGCAGCCGCGGUAAUACGGAGGAUGCGAGCGUUAUCCGGAUUUAUUGGGUUUAAAGGGUGCGCAGGCGGUCUGUUAAGUCAGCGGUCAAAGCCCGGGGCUCAACCCCGGCCCGCCGUUGAAACUGGCAGU